CCUUCUUUGUCCCUCUUAAUUAGUCUUGGUUUGAAAUCCAUUUUGUCUGCAAACAAGAUAGCCAAUCCUGCUUUUUUUCAGGUUUCUGUAACAUGCAGUACUGUUUUCUGCCCUUUAACUUUUGUUCUAUGAAUUUCUUUUUGAAUAAAGUGUGCUUCUUGUAUACAGCAUACUGUUGAAUCUUGUUUCUUGAUCCAUUCUGCCAGUCUAUUUCUUUGGAUUGGUGAAUUGAGACCAUUAACAUCAUGGUUAUAACUGAUAUGUAUUGACUUAUCUUUGUCACGACCUUUUCUUGUUGUUGGAUUCCCCCCACCUUUGCAUUUAAUUUCUUGUCUUGCCUGAUAAAUGAAUUCUAUUGGGCUUUGUGGUGUUGUGACCCUCACUGUCUUUUCCCAGGACAUUGUUUAAAAUUUUUCGGAGUGCUGGCUUUGUGUUCCUUGGGUGUUCUUCAUUGUGAAAGUAUAUUAUUUCUCCAUUAAUUUUGAAAGAUAGUUUUGCAGGGUACAUCAAUCUGGUUUGGAGAUUCUUUUCUUUUAGGGCUUGAAAUACUUCACUCUAGACUUUUCUUGACUUAAGGGUUUGAGUUGAGAAGUCUGCUGUGAUUCUGAUGGGUCUUCCUUUGCAUGUGAUUUGUUUCUUUUCUCUAACUGCUUGUAAUAUUUUGUUCUUCUGUUGGGUUUAUUAUAUGUCUAGGUGUAGAUUUUUUUUAUCAUGGCUAGGUGGAGUCCUAUAUUCUUCACUUAUCUCUAGGUCAAGUUCUUUUCCCCCACUUGGGAAGUUUUCUGCUAUUACUUCUGUGAGCAGCUUUUUAAAAAAAAUGUCAUUUGCAAUAUAUUCUGUUUCUUCUUUGACUCCAGUCAUUCUUAUGCUAUUCUUCUUUGCAUUACCUAGCAGCUGCUGAAUUGAUUUGUCACGAUCCCUUGGUAUUUUUAAGGAUUCUUUCCUUUCCUGGUCUUUAACUGCCAUCCUAUCUUCUCUAUCUGAUAUUCUAUCCUCACAUUGGAUCAUUCUGCUGCACAAACUUUCAGUGGAGUUUUUAAUCCCUGGAUAUAUGUUUAAAUCUGUUUUAUGGAUUCCAUUUCUUUCUUAUGCUGGGAAUCCAUCAUGUUUCUGAGUUCAUCUAUUUUUCAUCUGUGUCUUCUCUAGAGUCAUUAAUCAUGUCUUUCACUAAUGUCACCACCUCUGUUGUUAUAUGAGAAAUUAUUUCUGACUUCAUUUUUUUCCAGAUCCUCUUUUGUUGCCAGUUCAGGGAGUCCAGGUGUUUGAGUUUCCAAUUGUUCCAUCUCACUGCCUAGAUUUCCUUUCGGUGAUCUGGAAGUCUGAGUUUGCAUCUUGUUUAACUGCCUUCUUAUUUCUAGUUUUUGUUAUUGUUGAAGGAUUUGGUUUAAUUUACUACUUGUAAAUUGCUUAUUGCAAGUAUCUGUUUGGCUAGUACUUAGAGCCCUUAAGGAAUGGCUACUUCUUGGAUUAUCUUCCUGGUAUAGUUGGCCUUUGGGUUUUGUGUCUAUAAUGGUCUUUAAGUGAUCUCAGUCCUGGUAUACCAGUAAAGAUUAUUGACAAAGCAAUCAUAUCACCUUGCCAAAGUAAUACAAACAGCAAGAACAAUAGCAUCAAACACAGCUUAGAAUAUCACAAAUUGUGGUAGCUAUUAUUCUGACCCCUUUAACUGCAUAAACUAGACUUGUGGUUAUAUAUCAAAAUCAAGGACCCACCAGAAAUAUGUUUACAAUUAGUAAACCCUUCAAUAUAGUGGCUUUACCCUCUGGAAAGAAGACUUAGCAGGAGUUAGGGGUGGGAUAGAGAGAUAGAAAGAGAGGUUAAGAGUAGGGCUAAAGGACACAGGAGGAUCACACAAACUUUGGGAAAUUAGUGAAGACAGGAGAAAAAGAGUGAAGGAAGGAACAGAAACAAGAAUGGAACAAACUAACAACAACAGGAAAACUAGAAACUGUAUUCACAUUCUUUUAAUAAUAAGAAUAAUAAAGAAAAUAACAGAAUAUUUGGACAAAAACAGGUGCAAGAAAGGAGAGAAAUGAAGAAAAGAAGGAAGAGAGGAAAAAAAAGAAGAAAGAAAAGGUUCUCUUCGAGGUGUGACUUUGCUAUUGCCGGUAUCCAACGUGGACAACAGUGUGCAGAGCCCAGUUCAUCAGUCUCAGUAAGUCCUGCCACUUUGUAAAUCUUACCAGAAUGUUCUUUAGGAAAAUGAUGGAAUGAAGGAAAAGAAAACAUGGAAAGCAGAUGGUGAGGGGUGAGGAUGUUUCCUAGAGAUGGGAUUUCGGAGUGGAAAAGAGGCAAGUCUUUUUCGUCAAGCCACAGAAUCAAUUUUGGACUCAGUCUUUUACCAGCUGUGUGGCCUCAGUAAAGUUUUUAAAUUCCUUUAGCUUCACCUGUAGAAUGUGAAUGUUUGUAAAGAUGACAGGAAAGAG
This is a long non-coding RNA of Heterocephalus glaber (naked mole-rat), 2426 nucleotides long. Lineage: Eukaryota; Metazoa; Chordata; Mammalia; Rodentia; Bathyergidae. The record is from Ensembl.